GAGUGAAGCGGCAACAGCUCAAAUUUGAAAUCUGGCGCCUUCGGUGCCCGAGUUGUAAUUUGUAGAGGGUAGCUCGAGCCCGCCCCCGUCUAAGUCCCCUGGAACGGGGCGUCGUAGAGGGUGAGAAUCCCGUAUGCGACGGGGUGGCGUGCUCGUGUGAGCUCCCUUCGACGAGUCGAGUUGUUUGGGAAUGCAGCUCUAAAUGGGAGGUAAAUUCCUUCUAAAGCUAAAUACCGGCCAGAGACCGAUAGCGCACAAGUAGAGUGAUCGAAAGAUGAAAAGCACUUUGGAAAGAGAGUUAAAAAGCACGUGAAAUUGUUGAAAGGGAAGCGCUCACGACCAGACUCGGGUGCGGCUGCUCAGCCGGUCUUCUGACCGGUGCAUCGGUUGUACCCGGGCCAGCAUCGGUUCGGGCGGUCGGAUAAAGGCCUCGGGAACGUAGCUCCUCUCGGGGAGUGUUAUAGCCCGGGGCGCAAUGCGGCCUGCCCGGACCGAGGAACGCGUUCGCUAGGAUGCUGGCGUAAUGGUCGUUAGCGGCCCGUCUUGAAACACGGACCAAGGAGUCUACCAUCUGUGCGAGUAUUAGGGUGUCAAACCCUUGUGCGUAAUGAAAGUGAACGGAGGUGGGAACCCUUUGGGUGCACCAUCGACCGAUCCAGAUGUCCUCGGACGGAUUUGAGUAAGAGCACCGCUGGUGGGACCCGAAAGAUGGUGAACUAUGCGCGGAUAGGGUGAAGCCAGAGGAAACUCUGGUGGAGGCUCGCAGCGGUUCUGACGUGCAAA
RNAcentral lists this ribosomal RNA (783 nucleotides) under Thyrinula parasitica. RNAcentral describes it as "partial 28S ribosomal RNA". It matches the Rfam family "Eukaryotic large subunit ribosomal RNA", at positions 91 to 897 of the family's 3401-position model. Lineage: Eukaryota; Fungi; Ascomycota; Dothideomycetes; Asterinales; Asterinaceae. The record is from RNAcentral.